GAAAUGCGAUAAGUAAUGUGAAUUGCAGAAUUCAGUGAAUCAUCGAAUCUUUGAACGCACAUUGCGCCCGCCAGUAUUCUGGCGGGCAUGCCUGUCCGAGCGUCAUUUCAACCAUCAAGCCCCCGGGCUUGUGUUGGGGACCUGCGGCUGCCCGCAGGCCCUGAAAACCAGUGGCGGGCUCGCUGUCACACCGAGCGUAGUAGCAAUCACCUCGCUCAGGGCGUGCUGCGGGUUCCGGCCGUUAAACAGCCUUACAAAACCCAAGGUUGACCUCGGAUCAGGUAGGGAUACCCGCUGAACUUAAGC
Molecule: unclassified non-coding RNA, 306 nt
Filed under: plant metagenome
Description: partial contains 5.8S ribosomal RNA, internal transcribed spacer 2, and large subunit ribosomal RNA
Rfam family: 5.8S ribosomal RNA (bases 1-105)
Source: RNAcentral